AUGGUGCGAUGGAGCAUCACUCCCCGGUUAGCCAUCGAGGUUGAUCACUGGGCGAUGAUUCUGCAGGUGUUUGAGGCCGACAUGGAAAAGAAAGAAUGGUCAGAGGUGAAGGACUUAGGUGGCCAGGUCCUCUUUGUUGGAGGGUCUGGAUCCAGAGCGCUUGCAGCGGUAGAUUCGCCCGAGGACUACAACUACAACGAUCAGAGAAUCCGAGGAGGGAACCGCGUGUUUCUUCUCGGUAAUGAUUGGGCACGUGUGUGGAGCGCCGUCUCCCGAUGCAAGUGUUGUGACUGCCAAAAGCUCGUCAAUGGAAUGCCCAACUAUUGUAUGUACGACAUGGUGAGUGGCAGAGCUAGCCUAGUUUCACUAAAGGAACACCACAACCCGAUGAGGUAUUGUAGGUCGGAAUGGUUCUUCCCCCCCGGAGUAAAACCCAGGAUUUUUAGUGAUUAUUAG
This 456-nucleotide ribosomal RNA is filed under the name Triticum aestivum (bread wheat). Its description in RNAcentral is "partial small subunit ribosomal RNA". Lineage: Eukaryota; Viridiplantae; Streptophyta; Magnoliopsida; Poales; Poaceae. The record is from RNAcentral.